UACGUAGGGUGCGAGCGUUAAUCGGAAUUACUGGGCGUAAAGUGUGCGCAGGCGGCCGCGCAAGUCGAGUGUGAAAGCCCCGGGCUUAACUUGGGAAUUGCGCUCGAAACUACGUGGCUGGAGUGUGGCAGAGGAAGGUGGAAUGCUUGGUGUAGAGGUGAAAUUCGUAGAUAUCAAGCGGAACACCGGUGGCGAAGGCGGCCUUCUGGACGACGACUGACGCUGAGACGCGAAAGCGUGGGUAGCAAACAGG
RNAcentral lists this ribosomal RNA (253 nucleotides) under uncultured prokaryote. RNAcentral describes it as "partial 16S ribosomal RNA". It matches the Rfam family "Bacterial small subunit ribosomal RNA", at positions 524 to 776 of the family's 1533-position model. The record is from RNAcentral.